AGGUUCUUCCGCCCCGAGCUGGCCUGGCGCCUCCCGGCCGCCAUAAGCAGAGGCUGGGGAGCGUGGCCCCGAGUGCUCACCUGGGGUCGAGGAGUACCGAGGGGCUUAGGCCGGGCUCCGGGUCAUUCGUUCGUCCUCUCAUUCAUUCAUUCCUUGAGCCGACUCUGGAAUUGAGAUGGGUUCGGUGGAUCCUAGAAGGAUUGUGCAGAUGCAGGAGUUGACCAAGUGGAAUUGCUGUAAACGUUGGCCAGCAAGAAGCAGCGUCACUUGUAGAAUCUUGGGCCUUUCUCCUGACCCCUGCAGGGAUUCGGAGACCGAGGCGUCCCCAGGCGGUUCACCCCAGCCAGUGAUGAAGCAGCCCCAGGAAGCUAAUACACAGCCGCCAGGUUCUUGCCUGGAAGCCACCCAAUGCAGUAAGAGACCCACUCGUCCACAGAAGUAGAUUUCGAAGGAUCAUCUGCCCUGCAGCUGUCAAAGAACUUAACUGGAGGUGGAGUCAGCCUCGAGGCCUUCCUCAGAAGGGGUUGGAGGGCUUGCCGUCCUGCAGAGUCAUGUCCUCAGGGAGGUCCUCUCUUCAUUCCAGUUUCUGGGGCUGGAUGCCGGCGUCUUGUAGCACCGGCCACAGAGCGUCGUGCACCUGAAGACAAGAAUCAGAGGGAGUUUUCCUCCGCCUCCUGCUUCAGGCGCUGCCACUUGCGCUGCGCUUCUGGGGCUAAACGCCGGCUUUCUGGCGCGUGACCUACACCUCGGUGCUGUGCUUGGCCUGUGAACCAAGAAGAUGUGUUCUGCCCUACAGAAGCUGGUGACCCAGAGGAAGAAGAGACAAAUCUGGAUCGACCUUGCGUCCUUUCUCUGCUUUCCAAACAAAUCCGAAUGUUCGGACAUGAACUUGACAGUGUUCAUCUCACCGGUGCCCUGGAGACAGUAAGUCAGAUGUGUACAUAUCUUUUCGGUCUAUGCCGUCUGUCCUGUUACCUAUUUUUACUCUUGGAUACCUUUAAAAAGAAACUUUAAACUUUGAAACUAACCCCAGUGCUCUUGGUCUUUGGGUUGUAUACCUUUUGACAGCCUUCAAUGCAAAACAGUACAGCUCUGCCCAGACUGUUUCUGUGGUACACGGCAGACCCAGCCAGGGUGAGCCAAGCCAGCGGGUGUUUGUUUAACACUUAGUAUUUUGAUUUACCUAAGGUAAGCACUUCUCCUACUUCUUCCGCUGUGUUACUUGUUCUAAUUCAGCUUCUUUUCCUGUGCUAUUAUUGCUAACUAGAGCCAGUUAAAGAAUGGAAAGAGAGCUAACAAGGGGUUUGUAGGAUGGUAAGUAGAAUUUUCUUGCUCGGCAUUUUGGCUCACGUACCAUUCUUUGAAAACCUGGGUAUCUAGGACUCAGGCAUCGUCACUAAACUUAUUUACCACGGAAUUCUUUAUUCUCUCAUUUACAACCGCCUUGAAGAAUACUUGAGAAUGUUAGACUUAUCCAAAUGUGAAGUGCACUGAAACUCAGCGUAACCCUUUGACUCUGUAAAAUGAAGCCCAGGUGUAUAGAUUAAUGUCCAGAAGAGAGUUUUUGAAGGAGUGGCCCUUUCAAAUAAUUCUUAUUAGCUAGGACAACAUUUAAAAACUCCUGUGUUAAGCCCCUCAUAUAAUGCUUUGUGCUUUGACAGGCUUCUCUAACUCCCCUGGACAGAGCGAGUUGUUUUUCCAAGUCUCCUCUGCCCUAUGUACUGUAUUUAUCUAUUUUAUUUACUUUUAAAUUCUCUUCUUGCCUACGAUAGCGACUAGGACGUAAUAGGUGACCAGAAAAACGCUUGUUGAAUUGAACUGAGGAAGAGCCUUCCUUAUUCUGAUACUGUGCCAAAACAAUCUACACUGAGUAUUAUAAUGAGUGGUGAAAUAUUUAAAAGCUUUCCUUUGAGAUUGGGACCUAAACAAGCAUGUCCGCUAUCAUCACUUCUUUUUAAUGUCCCAUUGCAUGUCCUAGACAGUUCAAUAAAGGAAGGAAAAGAAAUUUUAAUAUAUGAGGAUAGAACAGGAAGAAAGAUGUAUAUGUAAAUGGUUUGACUCCACAUAAAGCCGAAGAAAUAAUUACUUUACUGGAUCCCAGAUAAACCAGAAAGUAGGGAUUUUUUUUUUUUUUUUUAGCCUGGUGAUAUUCAGUACCUAAGCAUUUUGUCUGGGUCAAUGCAGUUAUCACACUGCAUUGUGUGACAAGAAACACUUGUCAUGUAUCUCGGUGUCAUUGAAACACCACUGAGAAUUUUGUCCUCUGUCAUCUGUAAUAUUCUACAUGGACAAUAACUGCAGAUUCUGACUUAGAAAGUAAGACUCAGUCAUAAGCCAAAAUCGGCCUGUACCAGCUCCUGGGAGCAGAUUGAUCACAUUUCUUUUUAACUCUGGGUUUCUUGUCCUCAAUCACUUCAGUAGCUUGAAAUCGUCAGCCAUGCUGGGAGUGUUUACAUCACAGAAACUGGCCCAAACCGCAGGUCAGUACUGAGGCCCUCGCCUACCAAGGCUGGUCACUAAACAUUGACUAACACACUACUGGGCAGACAGAUAAUGACAUGAAACGUUCUGACAGCUUCAUUGAAAGGGCAAAGAAACUAUUGACAUGAUGUCUUAAAAUUGGGGGUUUUGUUUUAAAUAGGAAAACAGGUACUUGAAGUUAGAGAAGAAUCUCCGUUUAGACUUAGAUGUUGAGUUCCAGACAUGUGGAAUGACCGCCAUCCAAUUUAAUUUAAAAAAAAAAAAAAAAAGGAAUUUCAUUGUUUUUGGAUCCAGUGAAAGGGAGGUUUUUUUUAAAAAAUUGAUUUUUGUUUUAAAGUUCAAUAAAAUUUUAUUAAUUUAAUUAGUUCCUAUCAAUUUUUAAAUAAGCAGUGGCUUAGAUUAAAUUUGCACUCUUGCUCUCUCACGCGCACUCUCUCCUUCUCUCCCUCCCCGCCCCCCUUAUUUAACCCAAACUCCUCGAGCACAUUAAUGGGUCUGGUCUGUCCUUUUACAGUUGGAGCGGCAUUGGUGAUUGUAAAUCAAGGCAAUGUUUAACCAGGAUUUCGCGGUGUUGUUUCUGUUAGGAUUUUGAGGGUUUUCCAUAAGGGUAUAUGUUAUGGGAAAAGCACAUACAAACCGGGAAAAGGAAGUUUGCUGGAAGCCGGAAGGGGGUUGUGUUGAUGGUGGCUGUUCCUUUAAGACAAUCACCCUGGGUAUCAUGAUCAGAAAGGGGAUUCAAGCGUGGACGUGGUAUGAGCAGGCAUCCGUAGGAUGGUCUGAGUUCGCCUUCCAAGUGCGUGUGGGCUUGGGGGGAGCUGGAGGAGGAAGGGGAUCUUGCAGUGUGGUCGGAAGCGUGCCAGCUCAUGGAGUUCGCUGGUGGUGCCGCGGGUUGAGGAUCCUGCAUUUUCACUGCUGUGGCUUGAGUCACAGCUGUGGCACAGGUGUGCAUGCUGUGGGUGCAACCAAAAAAAAAAAAAAAAAAAAAA
This 3467-nucleotide long non-coding RNA is filed under the name Sus scrofa (pig). RNAcentral's name for it is "lncRNA (ENSSSCG00065006203.1)". The record is from RNAcentral. Lineage: Eukaryota; Metazoa; Chordata; Mammalia; Artiodactyla; Suidae.